This 28-nucleotide small RNA is filed under the name Bombyx mori (domestic silkworm). Its description in RNAcentral is "ovarian small RNA-29957". Lineage: Eukaryota; Metazoa; Arthropoda; Insecta; Lepidoptera; Bombycidae. The record is from RNAcentral.
UCUGAUAUUAAUUGAAGGUCUGGAUAUA